CUACCAUUUGAUCCAGCAAUCUCAUGAUUGGGCAUCUACCCAAAGGUAUCAAAUGCACAAUCUCAAAGAGAUAUUUUUGUCCACUGACAUUCGUAGCAUUGUCAUUCGCAAUGACCAAAAGGUGGAAGCAACCCAAGUGUUGACCAGUGAUGAAGGGUGAACCAGACGUGGCCUCUGCAUACAGCGGACUGUUAUUGAGCCUGAAAAAGGGAGGAGAUUCUGACGCAUGCUACCACAUGGAGAGCCUGGGGACACUGUGCUGACUGAACACGCCAUUCACAAAAGAUUGCAUAUGGAGCCCAGGAUGAAAGAGAGACCCUCAGCCAGUCGUGCCCUCCCCAGCAAAAGCCAGUCCUCGGCGACCAUGUGGUCCAUUGCGUAGAGAGGCUGCCACCGGGCUCGAAGCAGUGCGGCGCGUCAGGGUGGCAGCGGGGCCCAGGGCUCCACCGCGCUCCUGGUGUGCGACAAGCAGGGCCACGUCCACCCGUGUGCCAGGACCACCAUCGCUGCCUACCUGCCCCUCAAGAAAUCUGGAAGAAAUAAAGGACGCUGGCUGGUGGAUUACUACGUUAAUGAUGUGGCCCCAUCCAUGAAGGGCCCGCUGUUGUUAAAAUCAUUGACCCCAUUUAAUCAAUGACUGGCCAAUAUUUUGUGACUGUAGAUUGGCUGGUGUGUUCUGUUCAUUGUGUACAUCAACUGCCUUUAGCACAGCUUGCCUUCAGCUCCAAUGGGACAGAGUUUGCCCGUUCUAGGCCACCCCCAGGGGGACCUCAACAGCUCGGCCACCGCACACAAGCUUUGCAGAGAAGAGCUUAACUGCCUCCACCUUGCUCCAGGAGACAGGACACCCCAGACCCACGGCCCAGAUGACAUGGCCCAGAAGCUCACAGCUGGAGAUGACAUCACCUCAGACAGCGACGUCCCAGCCCGGGACCUCUCUAUUGGAGAUGGUGUCGCCCCUACACUAGAGACGACUGCACCUCAGACAGUAAACCUCCACCCCGGUGACACCCACAGAAUGCCUUUCCUAAGGCAUUGACAAAGUGGACAUGGGACAUUUUUUCCUUCGAGAUUAGGAACACUGUUGUGUCUGCUGAACUAUUGUCUGCCUGGCUCGCGAUCUGGGAACACUCCUUGCUCUCUGCCAAAAUGCGCACCCUCCCCACCGCGCCCAUAGGGAAAUCUGGCAGAGGCCGCUGCCAUCUGUGGCAUUCCCGAGUCAGUGCAGAUUGUGCUUCUGCCAGGAGCUACCUGCCUCAUGUCAGAGAACCCCUCGACCCCCUGGGAGAGGACCACCCAUCCCUGGUGACUUCUGCUCUGCCCGCCAGCUCCUCCAUGACCUCCUGCCCCGUGUCUGCGACCUUGACCACCACAACCCCCCCCCCAGUGUUUGCACGCACUGUGCUGGCCGCUCACUUCACACCCUCUAACCGCAUGACUGCUGGACCUGCCGCCUGACCCAAGAAAUACACCAAGAUGUUAUUGCCGAAGCAUUUUUGAGGUAUAUGUAUAUAUCUCAUACUCUUAUCGCACUUUCUGACUCUAUCAAGAUGUUGUUAGAGACCCUGGAAAUCUCCAGUCUGUUUUCCUGGCUAACGCCAUAUGAAUGAGAAACUCAGCUAUAGGCUGGCCCACACGGACUUCUUAGAGUUCUACCUGUGUUCCUCCUUUUACUCUCAUAAAGAAUGUUUUCUACACCUUUUAGAAUGAA
Molecule: non-coding RNA, 1711 nt
Organism: Microcebus murinus (gray mouse lemur)
Lineage: Eukaryota; Metazoa; Chordata; Mammalia; Primates; Cheirogaleidae
Source: RefSeq, a predicted model, not a curated record